CAGGGAGACAACAAAAUGUUUAAUAUUAUUAUUUUGUCACCUUAGGUCGAUCGGUAUCUCACAUUCUUAAUUUAUUGAGGAUUUUAUUUCCUAAGUUUUUUCUAGGUCACACCCAUUACUUUUCCUGGGCCAUUAGCUCAGGUGGUUAGAGCGCACCCCUGAUAAGGGUGAGGUCCCUGGUUCAAGUCCAGGAUGGCCCAUAUCUCUAUGUUGGGGGUAUAGCUCAGUUGGUAGAGCGCCUGCUUUGCAAGCAGGAUGUCAGCGGUUCGAGUCCGCUUACCUCCACUGAUUACCACCUCUUCCAUAAUUUUUAUUAAGGAAAUGUAUUGAGUAGUGAUCAAAUUCUGAACGAAUCUAGCUUCCUAAUGAAAUCAUUAAGAUGCUGGACUCAUUGAAUUAAUUUCAUUGUUNNCAGAGAACCUUGACAACUGCAUAGAUUAUUUUUAAAGACAAUAAGCAUCUUUAUGAUGCAGAUUUAUUAUUUGUGCGAAUGCAUUAAUAACAAUUCUAUUAAGCUGAUGCUUCAAUUAUGAAGUUAUU
This 540-nucleotide transfer RNA is filed under the name uncultured Prochlorococcus sp. RNAcentral describes it as "partial 16S-23S ribosomal RNA intergenic spacer". The stretch from base 213 to 285 matches the Rfam family "tRNA". Lineage: Bacteria; Bacillati; Cyanobacteriota; Cyanophyceae; Synechococcales; Prochlorococcaceae. The record is from RNAcentral.